GACGAAACGCUGGCGGCGUGCUUAAACACAUGCAAAGUCGAAACGAUGAAGCCUUUCGGGGGUGGAUUAGUGGCGAACGGGUGAGUAACACGUGGGCAAUCUGCCCUGUACUUUGGGAUAAGCCUUGGAAACGGGGUCUAAUACCGGAUAUCACUUACCUCCGCAGUGGGGGUUUUGUUGAAAGUUCUGGCGGUACAGGAUGAGCCCGCGGCCUA
RNAcentral lists this ribosomal RNA (215 nucleotides) under uncultured bacterium. RNAcentral's name for it is "partial 16S ribosomal RNA". It matches the Rfam family "Bacterial small subunit ribosomal RNA", at positions 32 to 240 of the family's 1533-position model. The record is from RNAcentral.